GAUUGAAAGAGGUUACUUAGAAGAAGGCAAAGAAGUACUUCGAAAAAUCAGAGGUACCGACAACAUUGAACCUGAAUUCUUGGAACUUGUUGAGGCUAGUCGUGUUGCUAAACAAGUCAAACACCCUUUCAGAAAUUUACUCCAACGUAAAAAUAGACCUCAAUUAAUCAUCUCUGUUGCCCUCCAGAUAUUCCAACAAUUUACAGGAAUCAACGCUAUUAUGUUCUACGCACCUGUUUUAUUUUCAACACUAGGGUUUGGAAACAGCGCAGCUCUUUACUCAGCUGUCAUCACCGGAGCAGUCAACGUUCUCUCCACCGUUGUCUCAGUCUACUCCGUUGACAAGCUCGGACGACGAGUCCUCCUCCUGGAAGCUGGGGUCCAAA
This 386-nucleotide unclassified non-coding RNA is filed under the name Hevea brasiliensis (rubber tree). Lineage: Eukaryota; Viridiplantae; Streptophyta; Magnoliopsida; Malpighiales; Euphorbiaceae. The record is from RNAcentral.